GCAAACUUGGUCAUUUAGAGGAAGUAAAAGUCGUAACAAGGUUUCCGUAGGUGAACCUGCGGAAGGAUCAUUAAUGAAAAAUCCUCAAGGGGGUUGUUGCUGGCCUUUCGAGGCAUACGUGCACGCUCCUUUUUUUCAUCCACUUCACACCUGUGCACAUUAUUUGCGAGAGGGGAAUGUCAUCCGUUCCCUUCCGCUUUAUUUUACACACUCUGUAAGAACUGUCAGAACGAAAUUGUUAUUAUGUAACAAAUCUUAACAACUUUCAACAACGGAUCUCUUGGCUCUCGCAUCGAUGAAGAACGCAGC
Molecule: unclassified non-coding RNA, 309 nt
Filed under: uncultured fungus
Lineage: Eukaryota; Fungi
Description: partial contains small subunit ribosomal RNA, internal transcribed spacer 1, and 5.8S ribosomal RNA
Rfam family: Eukaryotic small subunit ribosomal RNA (bases 1-73)
Source: RNAcentral